AGAGUUUGAUCCUGGCUCAGGACGAACGCUGGCGGCGUGCCUAAUGCAUGCAAGUCGUACGCACGGAGCUUGCUCCGUGAGUGGCGCACGGCUGAGUAUCACGUGGGAACGUACCCUUCGGUGGGGGAUAACGCCGCGAAAGCGACGCUAAGCCCGCAUCCGCUCACCAGGUUCUGGUGAGGAAAGCAGCAAUGCGCCGAAGGCUCGGCCCGCGGCCCAUCAGGUCGUUGGGGGGGUAAUGGCCUCCCAAGCCGAUGACGGGUAGCUGGUCUGUGAGGACAAUCAGCCAGACUGGGACUGAGACACGGCCCAGACUCCUACGGGAGGCAGCAGCAAGGAAUUUUCGUCAAUGGGGGCAACCCUGAACGAGCAACGCCGCGUGGUGGAUGACGGCCUUCGGGUUGUAAACUCCUUUCGGCGGGGACGAAACGGACGGUACCCUCAGAAGCAGCCCCGGCUAACUCUGUGCCAGCAGCCGCGGUAAGACAGAGGGGGCAAGCGUUGUCCGGAUUUACUGGGCGUACAGCGCGCGCAGGCGGUGGUCGACGUGCCGUGUGACAUGUGCGGGCUCAACCCGCACCGGCCACGGUAGACGCGGCCGCUAGAGGCAGGGAGAGGGAGGUGGAAUGCCCGGUGGAGCGGUGAAAUGCGUAGAGAUCGGGCGGAACACCAGCGGCGAAGGCGGCCUCCUGGCCCUGACCUGACGCUGAGGCGCGAGAGCGUGGGGAGCGAACCGGAUUAGAUACCCCAGUAGUCC
RNAcentral lists this ribosomal RNA (757 nucleotides) under uncultured Chloroflexota bacterium. Its description in RNAcentral is "bacterial SSU rRNA". It matches the Rfam family "Bacterial small subunit ribosomal RNA", at positions 8 to 796 of the family's 1533-position model. Lineage: Bacteria; Bacillati; Chloroflexota. The record is from RNAcentral.